This 510-nucleotide ribosomal RNA is filed under the name uncultured Actinomycetes bacterium. RNAcentral's name for it is "bacterial SSU rRNA". It matches the Rfam family "Bacterial small subunit ribosomal RNA", at positions 355 to 879 of the family's 1533-position model. The record is from RNAcentral. Lineage: Bacteria; Bacillati; Actinomycetota; Actinomycetes.
CGGGGAAUAUUGCGCAAUGGGCGAAAGCCUGACGCAGCAACGCCGCGUGAGGGAUGAAGGCUUUCGGGUUGUAAACCUCUUUCAGCAGGGACGAUUGUGACGGUACCUGCAGAAGAAGCCCCGGCCAACUACGUGCCAGCAGCCGCGGUAACACGUAGGGGGCGAGCGUUGUCCGGAUUUAUUGGGCGUAAAGAGCUCGUAGGCGGUUCGGUAAGUCGGGUGUGAAAACUCUGGGCUCAACUCAGAGACGCCACCCGACACUGCUGUGACUUGAGUCCGGUAGGGGAGUAUGGAAUUCCCGGUGUAGCGGUGAAAUGCGCAGAUAUCGGGAGGAACACCAGUGGCGAAGGCGGUACUCUGGGCCGGAACUGACGCUGAGGAGCGAAAGCGUGGGUAGCGAACAGGAUUAGAUACCCUGGUAGUCCACGCCGUAAACGUUGGGCACUAGGUGUGGGUCUCAACCAACGGGAUCCGUGCCGCAGCUAACGCAUUAAGUGCCCCGCCUGGGGA